This 590-nucleotide ribosomal RNA is filed under the name uncultured archaeon. RNAcentral describes it as "bacterial SSU rRNA". It matches the Rfam family "Bacterial small subunit ribosomal RNA", at positions 374 to 960 of the family's 1533-position model. The record is from RNAcentral.
GGCGCAGCUGAUCUUCAUGCCGGUGAGUGAAGAAGGCCUUCGGGUUGUAAAGCUCUUUCGGCAGGAACGAAAUGGUUCGUGCUAAUACCACGGACUGAUGACGGUACCUGAAGAAGAAGCACCGGCUAACUACGUGCCAGCAGCCGCGGUAAUACGUAGGGUGCAGGCGUUAAUCGGAAUUACUGGGCGUAAAGCGUGCGCAGGCGGUUUCUUAAGUCAGAUGUGAAAGCCCCGGGCUUAACCUGGGAACUGCGUNUGAAACUGGGAGACUUGAGUGUGGCAGAGGGGGGUGGAAUUCCACGUGUAGCAGUGAAAUGCGUAGAUAUGUGGAGGAACACCGAUGGCGAAGGCAGCCCCCUGGGUUAACACUGACGCUCAUGCACGAAAGCGUGGGGAGCAAACAGGAUUAGAUACCCUGAGUAGUCCACGCCCUAAACUAUGUCAACUGGUUGUCGGGGGAUUAACUCCCUUGGUAACGAAGCUAACGCGUGAAGUUGACCGCCUGGGGAGUACGGUCGCAAGAUCUAAACUCAGAGGAAUUGACGGGGACCCGCACAAGCGGUGGAUCAUGUGGCUUAAUUCGAUGCAAC